This 403-nucleotide long non-coding RNA is filed under the name Rattus norvegicus (Norway rat). RNAcentral's name for it is "long non-coding RNA NONRATT028519". Lineage: Eukaryota; Metazoa; Chordata; Mammalia; Rodentia; Muridae. The record is from RNAcentral.
GCAGACCGCCUAGGCCUGAGACUGGAACGGCGCGGAGAUGGGGGCGGCGGCCGCGGAGGCCGACCGCACUCUGUUCGUGGGUAACCUGGAGACGAAGGUGACGGAGGAGCUCCUCUUCGAGCUGUUCCACCAGUAUUUGAGACAGAGAGACAGUCUCUAUAGCCUUGGUAGCCCUGGGACUCCGAGGCUGACUUUGAGCUGGUCCUCCUGCCUGCAUCCCUUGACAUCUGACAAUACAGGCUGGGCCAGUAAUAAAGGUGAAAAUCCCAAAAGAUAAAGAUGGCAAACUGAAGCAGUUUGCAUUUGUGAAUUUCAAACACGAAGUGUCUGUUCCCUACGCCAUGAAUCUUCUCAAUGGAAUCAAACUUUUCGGGAGGCCUAUCAAAAUUCAGUUUAGAUCAGG